RNAcentral lists this ribosomal RNA (254 nucleotides) under uncultured bacterium. RNAcentral describes it as "partial 16S ribosomal RNA". It matches the Rfam family "Bacterial small subunit ribosomal RNA", at positions 524 to 776 of the family's 1533-position model. The record is from RNAcentral.
UACGUAGGGGCCUAGCGUUGUCCGGAAUUAUUGGGCGUAAAGAGCUCGUAGGCGGUUCGGCAAGUCGGAUGUGAAAUCUCCACGCUUAACGUGGAGGGGCCAUUCGAAACUGCUGUGACUCGAGUCCGGUAGGGGAGUGUGGAAUUCCCGGUGUAGCGGUGGAAUGCGCAGAUAUCAGGAAGAACACCCGUGGCGAAGGCGGCUCUCUGGAACGCAACUGACGCUGAGACGCGAAAGCGUGGGGAGCAAACAGG